CUACGGGCGGCUGCAGUGGGGAAUAUUGCACAAUGGAGGAAACUCUGAUGCAGCAACGCCGCGUGGAGGAUGACACUUUUCGGAGCGUAAACUCCUUUUAUAUAGGAAGAAGAUGACGGUACUAUAUGAAUAAGCGCCGGCUAACUCCGUGCCAGCAGCCGCGGUAAUACGGAGGGCGCAAGCGUUACUCGGAAUCACUGGGCGUAAAGAGCGUGUAGGCGGAUUAAAAAGUCAGGAGUGAAAUCCUAUAGCUUAACUAUAGAACUGCUUCUGAAACUCUUAAUCUAGAAUAUGGGAGAGGUAGAUGGAAUUUCUGGUGUAGGGGUAAAAUCCGUAGAGAUCAGAAGGAAUACCGAUUGCGAAGGCGAUCUACUAGAACAUUAUUGACGCUGAGACGCGAAAGCGUGGGGAGCAAACAGGAUUAGAUAUCCCAGUAGUC
Molecule: ribosomal RNA, 439 nt
Filed under: uncultured bacterium
Lineage: Bacteria
Description: partial 16S ribosomal RNA
Rfam family: Bacterial small subunit ribosomal RNA
Source: RNAcentral